GCCAGGCGCGGUGGUGCGUGCCUGUAGUCCCAGCUACUUGGGAGGCUGAGGUGGGAGGAUCCCUUUAGCCCAGGAGUUCUGGGCUGUAGUGCGCUAUGCCGAUCAGGUGUCCGCACUAAGUUCGACAUCAAUAUGGUGACCUCCCAGGAGUGGGGGACCACCAGGUUGCCUAAGGAGGGGUGAACCGGCCCAGGUUGGAAACGGAGCAGGUCAAAACUCCUGUGCUGAUCAGUAGUGGGAUCACGCCUGUGAAUAGCCACUGCACUCCAGCCUGGGCAACACAGCGAGACCCCGUCUCU
RNAcentral lists this signal recognition particle RNA (299 nucleotides) under Aotus nancymaae (Ma's night monkey). RNAcentral describes it as "Metazoan signal recognition particle RNA (ENSANAG00000006048.1)". It matches the Rfam family "Metazoan signal recognition particle RNA". Rfam says of the family: The signal recognition particle (SRP) is a universally conserved ribonucleoprotein. Lineage: Eukaryota; Metazoa; Chordata; Mammalia; Primates; Aotidae. The record is from RNAcentral.